AAGCGCCAAGCGACAGAGGGCCGCUUUUUUUACCUGAAGCGAUGGGAGGAGAAAAAGGCGCGCGCUUCAGGCCCAGAAGCGAGAAGCGACGGACCAGAAAAGGCGCGGAAAAGCUCGCUUAAGCGCUAUUUAAGUUUUUUCUUUUUUUAAAAAGAGUUUUAUUGGUUUUUUCUAUUUAUUCUAAUUAAAACCCUUAAGCGAAUUCUUCGACUGUGGAGCUGCUGCUUCUGCAACUGGUAUGUGACUUCUUCUUCUUCUUCUUCUUCUUUAUUUCUCUUUUCUUUUUCCUCUCUAUUUAUCUUCUUCUUCCUUGUUAUCUGAUUCUGUUUUUUCCCCCUCUUCUUUGCUAUUUCAAUGUUUCUUCUCUGUUCUUCUCAGUUCUGCUUUUGUUUUUCCUCUUCUUCUUCUCUGUUUUCCAGCUCUGGUUUUCUUCUUUUUUUGCUCUGUGUGUUCUUAGUUCUGACAUCUGUCUAUCUGUUUAUAUUUUCAUUAUUUUGUUUUCUCUUGUAGUAUAUUUCUUUAUUCAACGGCUCAAAAAAGAGAUCCAGCUUGGGCGUAUGGAAUUGCAAUAGGCAAUACUAAUUUAUUAUUUUGUUUGCUUGGAUGCUUGUUAUGCCUAUCUAUUGUCUUUUAAUUUAAGAAUUGAAAGAUUUUGUUAUUUAUUGAGUUCUUGGCUAUUUAUUUGUGCAUGCUUAAUAUUUUUAAAUUUCGUACUAAAUAGCGGUCUAAUGGAAAAAGUGUGUGCUUCGCUUCACACUUCUCACUUCUGUGAAGCGAGCCCUCGUCGCUUUUUUCCGUCUUUCGCUUUUCAAAACACUGAUUGGAAGAGUGACAAUUUGAAGUUCACAAACCAUUCUCCUUAUCCAAAUUGCUGCUCCAAGGUAAUUGUUGAAAUUUUUGUAGGCACUCCCUGGGUUGUCUUGUCUAUGGUUGAUUAACUGUUAUUAUGUCGGCUGGAGUAACAGAGUUAGUAUAUUUGCCAUAGAAAGAAUUUGUGAAGGAGAGAAACUCUUCUGUGAUUAUCAUUAUGAGCCAGAUGCAGUACCUGCCUGCGAAAGAAGAGGACCUCUUCUAUGAUUAUAAUUAUCAUCUGGUUCUAUGAAAGAGUUUCCUUCUCCUUCAAGUGCCGUACUUUUCGAUUGGCUCAUUCUUUUAACAAGAAGUUUAUUAUCUACAUUGACCACCUGAUCCACUUAGUUGGCGGACAAAACCAUUGCUUCUCCAGGAUAACUAACUUAUCAGAUAGUGUUUCAGUUUAUUAUAGGCUGCAUUCAGUGCCCGUUGGGUGUAGCCUUUGAAGCGGGAAAAUAUUUACAGGCUUGCUUAUAUCAUAUUAAUGGUUUACAUGUAAAACAACAUAAUGAAAUUGUAAACAUUUAUCUAGGACCCGUUUGGCCGAAUUUUUCACUUCCUCCAAAAAAAAAAAAUCAGUUUUUUUAAAAACACUGUUACUGUUCAAAACCUGUUUGCAAGUUUUUCAUUUAAACUUUUGACCCUUUUUUUUUAAAGUUUGCACCAUUUUUUUGUUUUUACAAAAACCAUCCCAUUUAUUUGAACCACCAUCCAGGGUAAAUGCCAACUAUCGUAGGCUGGCCACUUCCCCUCGAUACAUCUCUCAUGGAAGAGUGCAACUUCUACUCCUUUUUUCUCUCUCUAACUCAUCUCUACCGAUGGCACAUAAUCCUUAAUCCGGCCAGUCGUGUGUCUUUAGGCAGCACCAACAACAGCGACGACAUUCUUUGAUGGUAAUUACUAAAAUCUACUAUUAUUUGCUUGAUUUAUUUAGAUUUUUUAGAUUUGUGAACCCUAGGUUGAGAUUUUCAUACAUUUGGUUAUGUAUUCACAACUUUGAUUCUCUUUUCAGGUAAUAUGUUCAGAUCUUCAAUUUUUUUUUUUGCUCAACUGUUGGACAACAUAUUUUGUGCUUUUAUUUUUGGUUGAGUCAGCUUUUAUCUGGCUGCUGGAGCUGAUUAGGCAAGUAACACCUGAAGCUAAUUUUGAGAUUUCAGACGAAAAUUGUGUGGUUGCACCUCCACUGGUUAACAGGGUAACAUAAUUUAAAGUUUUAUUUUCCCUUCAACCUUUCUUAUUGCGCAUGUUUUCAGUUGUUCUUCUGUUUAAAAAUGAAGAUAUUUAUGCAACCGGUUAUUUAUUAUUAUACUGUAGAAAUGUAAAGGAAUCAGUAAACCACUUGGUUCAAACUCCGAUACAUGGAUGGAAGAAGAGACACUGAUUCUGAUCAAUAUCCUACAUGAUGAUACGAUGAAGUACGGAUUUAAUGGUCCAUGUUGGAGGGAAGUUAUAGAUGAGUUUUGGUUGAAAUCUGACAAGAAAGACACUUGUACGAACACCAAAUUAAGUCCAAGUACAACAGCUUAAAGAUCGAAACAAUUAAAAAAUUCAAGGACAUCCUUCAAGGUUGCUCUGGAUGUUGUUGGGAUCCUGAAAAUUACGUAUUUACUUGUCCAUCUGCGAUUUGGGCAGAUCAUGUAUUGGUAAGUUAGCUAGAUGAGUAAAAGUAUGUAUAACCAUGUACAGGUAGAAGGGGGGAUUCAACAUUUUGGUUGUCAUGAUGGUCUUAGGUCUACACAUGCUCACGUAGUGGUACUGGGACUGGUAAGCGAACUAUGGCUAAUCCAUCUAUUGUAACUGAUGAUGGCACAUCUACAUGUUGAAAUAAAAAGUUGUACUAUAGCUAUUGACGGCAUACAUGAAUCUUCUAGGAGGCAUUUGAAGUGAAAAAGAGAUGGCGUGGAGGCAAAAGAAAAAAAAAUGGAAGAAAGUGCACGACUGGUAAUACCCUUUAAGAUGGUUAUCUACUCUGAGCAAGUCGUCAUUACCCAAUUGCAAUAUAUCAUGGAAAUAUUUUGUAUUUCGACAAUAAGCAACUUUCUCUGGUUGUGCCUCACUUGCAUAACCCGGCUUGCAAGAUGUUUGUCCAUAUAGAAAAUGGCAAAUUCAGUGGGUUAAGGACUUGGGACAAUUUUGAGAAAAUAGUUUUUAUAAUUGGUUAUGUUGUUCUCUAGUGCGAUGAAACGCAAACUUUUUACACGUGUAAUGGUUUAUGUGUAACGAUUCUCUGUGGCAGAUUCACUUGGUGUGGGAUUUGUAGUAAUGUCUCUAUUUGUAGUCUGAAUAUUGCUUUUAGUCAUGUUUCUUUGUUUAUGCAUGUUAUUUGGUUCUCUGGUCUGUACUAUAAAUGCUGUCAUUGUAUUAUUUUAAGUUUAGCAGGUUGGUUGUAGUGUCCAUUGAAAUACAGGAAGCAUAUCUAGCAGAGACACUUGGCGAAACAACGGCAUUGAGGAUUGCAUCUUAUACAUUGCAGUUUCUGAUCAGAGAAAUUGCUUGCAAUAACAGGUCAUUAUCUCGCACACGCAAUAUACAUCUAGGCCAAAUAUGACAUGGAUUGUUGAUCUUCUUUGGGGACAUCACAUAAGUAUGUAUGAAUUUACACGUUUCUAUCUGAAACAUUUCGUCGGCUAUCGAGCGAUGCAUGUUCCAGUUGAGUAUGUAGCUACUUUUCUUACUGUUGUUGCACGUGAAGAGAUAGUCAUCGCUUGGCAAGCGAAUGGAUUCAACAUUCACUCGAGACAAUAAAGCAAUUAGUCGACAGGCUCCAACAUUUAUAUUCCCAACAACUAUUCUGGCAUACAUCCGAAGAUUUCAUAUAGUAGCUGCUUUUGGAUUACACUGGCUAUGUUAUUGCUUAAGCUGCUUGGCAAGGUACUGCACACGAUAGUAGAGUGCUUGAGAAUGUGAUUGUUGAUCCAGAGGCAGUUGAUCAAGAAAUGCGUGCUUGGCGAAAAGAGAUUGUUCAGAGUGGGAAAAUUAUAUUCAAGUAUAGCUACUUACUAGUUUUGUUAACUUUUUGUUCUAAUGACUUGCAAUAGUAUCAAAGAAUUGGAUGUGGAAUAGUAUGUAGGAGCUCUCGUAUAUGGGAUUCUAAUCUAUGACAACAUUAUGUGACUACGUAGUAGCUCUCGUAUAUGGGAUCUAAUCUAUGUCCUUAUGUGACUAUUUUUUAUGAGAUAUUGUUCUUUUAAAGCAAA
RNA transcript from Capsicum annuum, 4049 nucleotides. RefSeq lists it as uncharacterized. NCBI's taxonomy places the organism in Eukaryota, Viridiplantae, Streptophyta, Magnoliopsida, Solanales, Solanaceae. The transcript has 3 exons. The record is from RefSeq and is a predicted model, not a curated record.